This 80-nucleotide non-coding RNA is filed under the name pig gut metagenome. RNAcentral describes it as "TPP riboswitch (THI element)". It matches the Rfam family "TPP riboswitch aptamer (THI element)", at positions 7 to 92 of the family's 105-position model. From Rfam's summary of the family: Vitamin B(1) in its active form thiamin pyrophosphate (TPP) is an essential coenzyme that is synthesised by coupling of pyrimidine and thiazole moieties in bacteria. The record is from RNAcentral.
CAUCAAAGGGUGCCCCAUGACGGGGCUGAGAUUAUACCUUCAGACCUGAUGCAGUUAGUACUGCCGUAGGGAUUGAUUCG